UUUACAUAUGUCUGGUCAGAAUUCAGAUAGUUAAUGCAAGUGUGUUCAUUUUUAUUUACAUCAAGUUUUUUUUAUUAUCAUUUUUCAGCCCGAUUACGGCUGUCAUUGUCACGGAAGAGGAGAAAGGAGUUGUGGUGGGCAGAGAAGAACACCUUGCAAAUUAUGCCUAGGAAGUGGUCAAGUUAUUAGCUACAAAGAGCUCUUGAAGUCAGAUGGACAAAUGCCAUACGUGGAAGAACAUACAGAAGUUCCAACGAAACAUCUGCUAAAGAAAAGGGCCUUAUUCAAGUAAUAUCCGUAUUCGCCUUAUUCAAGCUCAGCCACGUAUUAACAGAUUGCUAUUUACAUAGCAGGAAGUUGAAAAGGGGAAUGAAUUUGGAACUAAUCGGUCCCAUAGAAUCGUGGGAAAGAUUACGCGACCCCUCCGUGUAGAUUUCAAUAAAGAGAUAUAUAUAAACUCUUGAAAUACUUGGGGUCAAGAUCCAGCAAUCACAAAUGUAAUCAAAUAUGAAUAAUAGAUAAAGCAUGUAAUAUUAGUCUGUUUUACGC
Molecule: long non-coding RNA, 549 nt
Organism: Styela clava
Lineage: Eukaryota; Metazoa; Chordata; Ascidiacea; Stolidobranchia; Styelidae
Source: RefSeq, a predicted model, not a curated record